AUAUAUAUCGUGAGUCGACCUUCCCAGAUUUAUGGAGAUGCGCGUAUGGAGAUCGAAGAGCCAGAAAAUGGGCCCUAAAAGUCUACAUGUUUGAAUCUAAAUCAAAGUUAUAGUGGUACACAAACACAAGAGUACAAAAAAUAAAAAUAAAUAGCAGUUUGAGGAUUUUCAAAUAUAUUGAGUAUAAACUUUUCUAAACAUCUUUCUCUAGCUAAUAGCUUACAUUUUUAGGAUAAUUAAUCAGUUGUUUUAUACGUACGACAUCAAUAGUGGGAGGUCUAAUUUUGAAUAUCAACACUAGCUAGAUAUUUGAACAAAAAUUACGCGG
This 328-nucleotide long non-coding RNA is filed under the name Ananas comosus (pineapple). Its description in RNAcentral is "long non-coding RNA (ACOM_LNC007747)". Lineage: Eukaryota; Viridiplantae; Streptophyta; Magnoliopsida; Poales; Bromeliaceae. The record is from RNAcentral.